UGCCAGAAGCAUCUUCUACUUUUUCUUUUCCUCUUCGUUUUUCUCUCAGUCGUUCCGUUUCUCUUUAGUUUUCCCGUCUGCCUUUUGAUUUCGGUUCCAAUCGGAUCUUCUCGAAGGUGUUUGGCGUUUUUUCCCCUGUUUUGCACAAACGCAUCGCUCCCGUUCAGGAAACAUUGUUCUUCAAGUUUUAGGGUUUUAUUCUUCCUAGCUUUUUCUGGGUCAGAAAUUACAUUUGAAGCCUGCGAAGACCUUUGUGUUUAAGGUUAUGUAGCUGAAGUGGCUAAAGCUAAGAAAGAACAAUUGUGGGUUAAAAUCUUCAUAUUUGAAAGUUGGAUAUCAGCCUUUGAAAGGCUUUGUGAACGUGUUCUCGCGUGUGCAGCAGACCUUCAUAGCAAUUUGGGGAAAUUUUGGCUUUGUCAUCACAUCACUCUUGAUACUCUGUGUGGCCAUCAAAGGGUUUACAAACAACCACACGAUUAUUGAAAACGGCCUUUUGUCUAAGGAAAAUGAAGGAAGAUAUAUAUAUCAGCAGCAAGGGUGUGGAAGCUCACACGCUCAGAUUUCAACGCGUUUCGAAGGUGGAAAUGAGAAGAAUGUGCAGUGUGGACCUCCAAUUUCCAGUGCUAUGAUGCAUGAGGACUGCCAAAGUGAGAAUACUGGUUAGUUGUCAUCAAGCAGCCCUUGUAGAUGUGUAUUUUGUUUAUAUAUUGCUAGUUUAACCAUUAGUACGUUUGACUUGGGGAUACAAGCUUGUAUAUGUUAUAUUUUGUUGUAUAUAGAGAAUCCCGGGUAUGUCCAGCAUAGGAUAACAUGUAUUUUUUGGUUUAACAUUUGGAUGGGUUGUAUUGUUAGGUUGCAUGAAUCGGUCUUAGCCGAGAACAUGGGUUAUGUAAUAUAUUAACUUCACUAUUUUAGUGCUAAUGUUGAUUUAUGUUUAGUUUGUAA
Pyrus x bretschneideri (Chinese white pear) is the source of this 945-nucleotide long non-coding RNA. RefSeq lists it as uncharacterized. NCBI's taxonomy places the organism in Eukaryota, Viridiplantae, Streptophyta, Magnoliopsida, Rosales, Rosaceae. The transcript is spliced from 6 exons. The record is from RefSeq and is a predicted model, not a curated record.